GAUGAACGCUGGCGGCGUGCCUAAUACAUGCAAGUCGAGCGAACGGACGAGAAGCUUGCUUCUCUGAUGUUAGCGGCGGACGGGUGAGUAACACGUGGAUAACCUACCUAUAAGACUGGGAUAACUUCGGGAAACCGUAGCUAAUACCGGAUAAUAUUUUGAACCGCAUGGUUCAAAAGUGAAAGACGGUCUUGCUGUCACUUAUAGAUGGAUCCGCGCUGCAUUAGCUAGUUGAUAAGGUAGCGGCUUACCAAGGCAACGAUGCAUAGCCGACCUGAGAGGGUGAUCGGCCACACUGGAACUGAGACACGGUCCAGACUCCUACGGGAGGCAGCAGUAGGGAAUCUUCCGCAAUGGGCGAAAGCCUGACGGAGCAACGCCGCGUGAGUGAUGAAGGUCUUCGGAUCGUAAAACUCUGUUAUUAGGGAAGAACAUAUGUGUAAGUAACUGUGCACAUCUUGACGGUACCUAAUCAGAAAGCCACGGCUAACUACGUG
RNAcentral lists this ribosomal RNA (497 nucleotides) under uncultured bacterium. RNAcentral describes it as "partial 16S ribosomal RNA". It matches the Rfam family "Bacterial small subunit ribosomal RNA", at positions 28 to 507 of the family's 1533-position model. The record is from RNAcentral.